Capsicum annuum is the source of this 738-nucleotide long non-coding RNA. RefSeq lists it as uncharacterized. Lineage: Eukaryota; Viridiplantae; Streptophyta; Magnoliopsida; Solanales; Solanaceae. The record is from RefSeq and is a predicted model, not a curated record. The transcript has 4 exons.
AAAAUCUCACACUUUUGUUAUUUUUCCUCUUUAAAUACGCUGCUCUCUCACCCUCUUUCUUCAUGUUGCUCUCUCUCUCUCCCUCUCUUCACAUUGCGCUCUCUCUCUUCCUCUUCCUCUUCACAUUGUUGUCCUUCUCUUUCAGGACAUAAUGAGCGUUACAUCAUUAUCAAGAGAAGAUUUCAGCAUUCUUUACAAACGGUGCACAAAUAUUUUCAUGAGGUUUUUGAAGCAAUAAUGAAAUUUGCAAAAGAAAUGAUUCACCUACAAUAUCUGAUUCGAAUAUGAAUAUUCCCGGUGUUCAUAAUAAGAUGUUGCAAAAAAUAUUUAAGAGAGAAAUAUGUGCACUAGAUGGGACAUUAGUACACACUGUUGUUCCUGUUAAUCAAUAAAUUGUUCGUAGAGGAAGAGAAAGAGGUAAUAUUUGAUGAAGAAGAAUUACAAGAAGAAACAUUGGAGGAAACAAACGGACCUAGUUGAACAGUUGAAGAUUCUUAGAUGAUGCACAAUAUGCGUGAGGAACUUGCACUCAAGCUAAUGCAACAAAAUUGAAGAGCUUGAGAGUUCAAUAAUUUAGUUAUUAAUUUUUUUUCAUCAGUGAAAAGUUAAAAUUAGAUGAUUAUUAGUUAGUUAUUCAAAUACUUUAAUAUUUAUAUAUGCAUCAAAACACAAAAUUAUAUCUGACUAAUUGUUUUCGUUUGUUGGAUCAGUUUAAAUGAUAGAUUACUUUGUGUUAAA